Frieseomelitta varia is the source of this 2088-nucleotide long non-coding RNA. RefSeq lists it as uncharacterized. NCBI's taxonomy places the organism in Eukaryota, Metazoa, Arthropoda, Insecta, Hymenoptera, Apidae. The record is from RefSeq and is a predicted model, not a curated record. The transcript has 3 exons.
AAAAAAAAAAAAAAAAAACAGAAAAAGUUCAAAAAAAAUAAUAAGCUUCUGAAAAAAAACAUAAGUGAACUUUCAUGUUAGAAACCCGUUUUUCCUCUAUUUGCGAAUUUUGAGGUAAUCAUUUUUAAUCUAAUACGAAGACACUGAUCUUCUUUUCACUCCGUUUUCCGAUAGAUUGUGAAAGAAGAGAUAUCAUUUCCUUUAAAGCGUGUAAAAUCGUUUAUGAAAAGUGUUUUUAACCCGUACUAGGCGACGUUGCUCUUUGAUAAUUCAGCCACGAGCAUUGAACGGAUCAGCUAAGACUCGACAGGGAACAAACCUUCAUCAAACAACGAGUCGAAUCAAGAAGAACUGUCUUUCUCAAAGCAAGUGACUAGGAGGCAAAGAUUUUAGGGACAAGAGAGUGGAAUAGAAGAGAGAAAGGAAACGAGGGAUAGACGAAUUGGAGGGUCGCACUCGUGGAUGGAAACGGAUCCAGGGCAGAGAAGAGGAAGCAAGUUUGCAAAGGCGGUGCGGUGGUUGCGUGGGAUAAGAUAUUGAAAUAUUAUUCUAUUCUGAUGGCAUUCAGAGAAAUAUCCGUUAAAAGGACUGUUGAUCAUCGUUGAAGGGAGAAAUGAAAUCUUCUCAGAACUAUCGAUCACGUUGUAAUAAAAGGAAAAUAAAAAUACCAGAGUUUUUCUAAACGAGAAGACUGUAAGAUAACCACUGAACCAGAAUUAAGAGUCUAUCACAAGAAACAGUUUCACUUGUUGCUUAUUCCAAAGGCAUUCAAGGAUCUAUAAAGUGAUUCUCAAACUAUUCUCCAGAGGAAAACUGUGGUGGAAUAAUCGUGGAGAUCUUUGACUUACCAACAUCACCAUCACCCAGAAUUACGUGAUGAAGGAUGAAGAGCACCAACAGCUCCGAGCCUCCUCGCAACCACCGUUUACGGCCCAUAGAUCUUCCUAUAAUUACGUAUAUUCAAUUUAGUUUCUUAUUCAAAACCAAACAGAUAUCUCUCUCUAUAUAUAUUUAUCUUUUUUUUUCAUUUAAUCUGAACCUUAUAGUAACGAUAGCUUUUUUUUUUGUGAAAGAAGAAAAAUUAUCUUGAACAGAAAUAAAGAUAAAUUAGAGUAAGCUAAUUACUGUUUCUUUGAAGUUCAUGGUUCGAAGUUGGUUGCAUAUUCAUUUUCAUUAAUGAAAGAACAUGGAUCUUCAUUUUUAAUGAGAUAAAACGGAGUAAAAGAAGAAACAGAAAGCGAGUUAGAAAAUAUGUGAAAGAUUGCGGUCAACAUGUAGAAAUGAAGUACAGGUACGUCUCUAAUUAUGCGUUGAUAAUUAUGACGAUUCAUUUUUUUGUUUCAAUAUCUUUUCAUUUAUAUUCGAUAUAGAUAUUUAUAGAUUAUAAUUGUCUCUAAUCAUUGUUGUUAAUUAAUGAUAUUAUAACAAAUUUAAAAGCACCAUCAAAUUUGAAAGAAUAUCUAUCAAAAGAUUCUUAUUCUUUGACAUACUUCCUGUAUAUAUAUAAUAUCUUUUAGUAUGAUAAAUAAUUAUAUUUACAACAAUUUUGUCGACACAAAUAUCUAUUUAAAUUAUUCAGUUAAAAUAUAACAAAAUACAAUUAGAAACCGUUCACUUGCGAGAUUUCAAUUCCACAAUGGAAAAUAAUUCGCGAUAUGUAUUACACUGUGGAAAAGUGUACAAGCUGUUCGGCUCGCUGUACGUGAGUUACAUGGCAACUUGUUGAAGUAACCGAGUUGUUCAUCAGGUCAGAAACUGUUUUGUCGAAUGCAAGAGCUUCGUUAAAAUCUUCCAAAAGGAAUAAAAUUACUGUAUUAAUCUAAUUUCUUCACUGUUGUGAAUAACGAAUCGCUUCAUAAAGGGUGCGGUAUACCUUUGCGUAACGUUUACGCAAUCACGGUGUAUACCCCCAUAGUCAAAUGACACCAAAGCGAGAGCAAAGCAAAUUAAUAACAGCACGGAAAAUAGCUUACUUAAAAUCCGGAGUUCAGACUCGACCAAUAGUUCCAAUGUAAUUACUCCUCUAAUUACUCCAAUCUCGAUUACCAUCCAAUAAAAACAGCUGUUUGUUCUGUCUCUUCUCAACAA